This 363-nucleotide unclassified non-coding RNA is filed under the name Athalia rosae (coleseed sawfly). RNAcentral describes it as "misc RNA ENSAEAG00005003682.1". The record is from RNAcentral. Lineage: Eukaryota; Metazoa; Arthropoda; Insecta; Hymenoptera; Athaliidae.
GGUAGAUCCUUCUUUUCCGGAGCAACGGCAGUACAGGUGCGACAGCCGAGGCGGUAACGUCGUUAGGAGCGUCAUCGAUGGCAGCGCGUACAUCCUUGGAGAAGAGAAAGAAGAAGCUAUAGAGGAGAGAAAGAGAAAAGACAUACAUCGGGAUGACUAUCGCGCGAUGGAAUCAAAUCGGGACAUCAACGAGUCUUUCCGAAGAUUGACUACUCUUAUUCAUCCCGUCCUGGUAAAGAUGAUGGAUCUGCAACACCUGAGACGUGCAACUUCUCUUUUUGCAGAGGUAUGAUUCAUUCUAUUUAUCCCUUCCGAGAGUCCCUCGUAUAAUACAGCAUUCGGAAUCUCAGUAUAUGAAUCGCA